This 3191-nucleotide long non-coding RNA is filed under the name Canis lupus familiaris (dog). RNAcentral's name for it is "lncRNA (ENSCAFG00845014551.1)". Lineage: Eukaryota; Metazoa; Chordata; Mammalia; Carnivora; Canidae. The record is from RNAcentral.
ACAUAUUCAGAUACAUUUAUUUUACAAAGCAAUAUUAAAGUGUAUAAACAGAAAGAUCCCACUGAUAUUUAAAUUACAGGGAAAAAAUCAGCAGAAAAUACUUAAAUAAUUGUUUCUCUGCACUUGGUAGAGUUCUACACUUAAAUAUUUGUUAACUUUAACCCAAAAACAUGAGUAAAAGUAUUCUAAAAUAGAUGAUGCUCUUGGCAAUUGCAGUGAAAAGAGACAGAUAUGACUGUGUGCCCAUUUUCUGAGUAUUAUGAAAGAAUACUGGUUUUUGAGAAUCACUGAGAUUGUGAUGGAAGAACGAGUCCUGGGAAAAUAAGGCUGAAUUAUUAGGUGGGGCAUUUUUCUGACUUUGCUUUAUAUCCCUGGGUUUAGCUCUGCUCAGAAAUUUGGUCCAAAGAUAAUAGAUCAUUGAUCUGCUCUAGUUUUACAAAGCUCAUUUUAAUUAAGAGUUUCUAAUAAAAGAAUUAUGUCUCUUGCUAUGGCCUUGGUAAGCCUGGGAUAAAAUAUGCCAUAAAUAUUACAUGGCUGUACUGGUGCAAAGUUAUGUGCAAUGCAGGGUUUGAAAAACUCAAGUGCAGACCAUCCACUUUACAGGUAAAGCCAAAGUAUUGAAUUUAAAGAAUGCUGAAAAUUAAUACAGUAGUUUUAUUUUGCAUCUACUGAACUUUAUUUUUAGAAUCACUUUUUAGCAAGAGUACCUUAAAUACUUUUUUAAAAUUCUGAGUCCUCCUCCUCUGGCUUCCACAGGACUGAUUCUCUGUGGUGAGAUGAAGGCAUUACACAGCAAAAAAUUCAGCAAGCUACCUUAAAGCCGAAGCUAAAUCUUUCCCUCAUAAAACGUGAAAUUUCUAGACACAGAUUUUGAAACUGUUUAAGCUUAUAUUUGGAACAAUAUAAAGAUGCAAAAUCGUUUUCAUUUUUUUAAUACUUCAAUUAACUUUUCAUAAAAAAACAGUCACUGACAGAAAUAGAAGGCACUGUUCAAUGAAUAACAAUAUUUGGCAAGGGAAGCAAACACCAUUUCAGAGCCUAAUGUUAGAAAAAGGACACUGUGGUUCAAAGGACUUGUUUUAAUUAAAGACAAUAGUGGCAUGUACAUUCACUUUUCCUCAUAAGAAACAGGCUUUUUCCCCUGAGGAUAUUUUUAUUUUCACAUCUGAAAAAAAAAAAAAAAAAAAAAAAAAAAAAAAAGACCAAAAGUCAAAGAUGCUUCUAAAGUUUGACAUUCCAAGGCUCAAGUAGAAAGAAUUAUUACAGUUUUCGUUUUCCCUUGUGUUCUCACUUCAGGAGAAUCAGUCCCUACCUUCCUACAAUAACCUUAAAUAACCAAAUAACCUUCCUACAAUAACCUUAAAUAACCAAAAAAUAACCAAAAAAGGAUAAAUUAUAAACAGUUAUUCACCAUGAGUUCUAGAAUCAGAUCCCAGGCAAAAGGAUCAAGUUCAAGAUAUCACAGUAGGUUGGAAGAAAGUUCAGAUUAUCAUCUUAAUCUUAGACAGAUUCAGCCUACCAAUUUGACAGUGGUAUCUUCCAUCCAGAACAACUUGCUUGAUGCUCCAUUCCCACAUCCCAGCCUCCUUGCAUUUUUGUACAUCAAAAAGUAUUCUUUUAAAUGUAAGGAAGAAAAUACUCAACUCCUCAUUUUUCUAACAUUUUUUGGUUCAAUGAAUAAACCUUUUAAUGCAAAGGAUAUAUCUCCCAUCAUCCUUAGAUAAGACCUCAGAAUAGCUAUCUCUUAACUACAAAGUUAAUAAUCUUUGCAGUUUACCUACUGAAGGAACACAUAGCAUGCUCUGUAUUUCCCUAUGAAGUGAUUCAAAAUACACUGUAGCUCAUGGUACAACAAUCUAGAGACAAUUUAAUUUAAAAAGUCUUACAUCUAAAUCAUAUCUGUAAUUUCCCUAUUUAGGAUAAAUUACAAAGGUAUCAUAGUCAAACUCAACAGUGUUGUCAAUUCAGAUAAAUUCUCGUGCUUUUUUUCUCAUUAAUGGUUUCAGAAGAUUCCGUAGCCUUAGUGUCAUUAGGGUAAAAAAUGCACAACGUUACCUUUCUUUCUAUGAAAAACAUGAGGGUGGUAAAUGAUCUUUAAAAAUAUGAGACAAAGAAGGAAAAAAUGAAUGUUAUGGCUUUCUUUUAAAAGUUUCUAUAGUAAGUUCACUGAUGAGCAUAACCUUCAAGUCACCUUCAGAAAGAGUGAUGAAAGUAAAAAGUCCAAUAUAAAAUAAAACAUUUCAGUCAAUGUGAAAUUGAACCAGUCAUUUUUUUCCCAUAAGCCAUGGGAACUUUUUCCAUGAAUAAGGCGACUGAUAUAAUUCUCUCUGUGUUAUCCUGUUGUGACCAGGCUGAACAAUACUUCAUAUGACACCGAAGUUACAAUUUUAAGAUAUAGUCACUGACUGGAUUUAGCCCGAGUAACUGGCCGGUAUUUUGUUUGUACGCAAUGCUUUCUUCCUUCUGUAACCAGCUGGAAGCUUAACAAUUUCUGAGCUAGUUUAGAUACAAGGCAAAACAGGCUAAUUGUGAAGUUAGACAUGUGUUUCCUUGUAAAUGUCUCUCUGCAGAGUCAUCUCAUUUUUAAAACCCUGAAGACAACUCACAGCAGCAGCCUGCCUGUUAACCAUUUGCUCUCACUGCAGAAAGUCCUCAAAGCGCAAAUCCAACAUAAAACUCCAAAGGGUUUUUAAAUUUUUUUUAGUAAAAGCAGAAAGUAAUAAGUAACUAAGGCAGAAUUACUGCAUAAUUAGCAUUUGGCCUUAUCUGAUGUCCUCUUUCCAAUCUGGAGAUUGGCAGUACUUUACAGAAGGGCAGGAAAUUUUCUUUCUCUUUUCCUUUAUGUAUCCAUCAGAUACCAGAAAAAAAAAAAAAUCCCCUCUUUUCUCUCAUCUUCACAAGUCUAAUCCCUUACUCUGUCAUCUGCCUUUCCCAACAGCUUGAGACAUGGGCUCUCCUUGCCUGAAAGAUAACCUGUCACUCAGCAAACUAGAACAUCCUUCCCCCACACAGCCUGCAAUGCUGCAGUUUCACAUUAAUGAGCUAAAAGUAACUCCUUAAAUUAACCCCUUCUAUUAUAAAAUACAAAUGGGCCAAGAGAUCUGGUAAAAAUAAAAGAUAAAGAUAAAAAUAAAAACCUCUAGAAACUUACUGAUUGACAUGACCACGUCAUUAAAAAAAAAAAAAAAAAA